AGGACGAACGCUGGCGGCGUGCUUAACACAUGCAAGUCGAGCGGAAAGGCCCUUCGGGGUACUCGAGCGGCGAACGGGUGAGUAACACGUGAGCAACCUGCCCUUAGCUCUGGGAUAGCUCCGGGAAACCGGAUUAAUACCGGAUAUGACCUAGGCCGACAUCGGCCGUGGUGGAAAGUUUUUCGGCUAGGGAUGGACUCGCGGCCUAUCAGCUAGUUGGUGGGGUAAUGGCCUACCAAGGCGACGACGGGUAGCCGGCCUGAGAGGGCGACCGGCCACACUGGGACUGAGACACGGCCCAGACUCCUACGGGAGGCAGCAGUGGGGAAUCUUGCGCAAUGGGCGAAAGCCUGACGCAGCGACGCCGCGUGGGGGAUGAAGGCCUUCGGGUUGUAAACCCUUUCAGCAGGGACGAAGCGAAAGUGACGGUACCUGCAGAAGAAGCGCCGGCUAACUACGCGCCAGCAGCCGC
This 472-nucleotide ribosomal RNA is filed under the name uncultured bacterium. RNAcentral describes it as "SSU rRNA". It matches the Rfam family "Bacterial small subunit ribosomal RNA", at positions 26 to 518 of the family's 1533-position model. The record is from RNAcentral.